Non-coding RNA from Caenorhabditis elegans, 149 nucleotides. The record is from Ensembl. Lineage: Eukaryota; Metazoa; Nematoda; Chromadorea; Rhabditida; Rhabditidae.
AAUAACCUUCGCGCUUAUCUGUCGGUACAAAAAACCGGGUCUGACUUUAUUGAUUACAGCAGAACGCGAUAGUGUAUGUCCUAAUUAUUGUUUCGCAGAAGCUGUGUUUUUAUUUCAUUUAUCUUGUGAUAAUACAUCUUCUUAAGAUG